UACGUAGGUGGCAAGCGUUGUCCGGAAUUAUUGGGCGUAAAGCGCGCGCAGGCGGUUCCUUAAGUCUGAUGUGAAAGCCCCCGGCUCAACCGGGGAGGGUCAUUGGAAACUGGGGAACUUGAGUGCAGAAGAGGAGAGCGGAAUUCCACGUGUAGCGGUGAAAUGCGUAGAGAUGUGGAGGAACACCAGUGGCGAAGGCGGCUCUCUGGUCUGUAACUGACGCUGAGGCG
Molecule: ribosomal RNA, 230 nt
Filed under: uncultured microorganism
Description: partial 16S ribosomal RNA
Rfam family: Bacterial small subunit ribosomal RNA
Source: RNAcentral